GCGCCGGUAGUGCAACGGUUUAGCACGUGCUCCCGGGAAGAGUGAGAUGUGAGUUCGAAUUCCAGCUGACGCA
This is a non-coding RNA of Parelaphostrongylus tenuis, 73 nucleotides long. The record is from the annotation of a GenBank genome assembly. Lineage: Eukaryota; Metazoa; Nematoda; Chromadorea; Rhabditida; Metastrongylidae.